RNAcentral lists this ribosomal RNA (253 nucleotides) under uncultured bacterium. RNAcentral's name for it is "partial 16S ribosomal RNA". It matches the Rfam family "Bacterial small subunit ribosomal RNA", at positions 524 to 776 of the family's 1533-position model. The record is from RNAcentral.
UACGUAGGGUCCAAGCGUUGUCCGGAAUUAUUGGGCGUAAAGAGCUCGUAGGCGGUGUGUCGCGUCGGAUGUGAAAGCCCGGGGCUUAACUUCGGGUCUGCAUUCGGUACGGGCAUGCUGGAGUUCGGUAGGGGAGACUGGAAUUCCUGGUGUAGCGGUGAAAUGCGCAGAUAUCAGGAGGAACACCAAUGGCGAAGGCAGCACUCUGGGACGUGACUGACGCUGAGACGCGAAAGCGUGGGGAGCAAACAGG